GUGAGGAAUUUUCCGCAAUGGGCGAAAGCCUGACGGAGCAAUGCCGCGUGAAGGAUGAAGGCCUAUGGGUUGUAAACUUCUUUUCUCAGAAAAGAAUUAUGACGGUAUCUGAGGAAUAAGCAUCGGCUAACUCUGUGUCAGCAGCCGCGGUAAGACAGAGGAUGCAAGCGUUAUCCGGAAUGAUUGGGCGUAAAGCGUCUGUAGGUUGUUUAAAAAGUAUUCUGUCAAAGAUUAGGGCUUAACCCUAGAUAGGCAGAAUAAACUUUUAAGCUAGAGUUUGGUAGAGGCAGAGGGAAUUCCCGGUGGAGCGGUGAAAUGCGUAGAUAUCGGGAGGAACACCAAAGGCGAAGGCACUCUGCUGGGCCAAUACUAACACUGAGAGACGAAAGCGAGGGGAGCAAAUGGGAUUAGAAACCCGUGUAGUCC
RNAcentral lists this ribosomal RNA (426 nucleotides) under uncultured bacterium. RNAcentral describes it as "bacterial SSU rRNA". It matches the Rfam family "Bacterial small subunit ribosomal RNA", at positions 354 to 796 of the family's 1533-position model. The record is from RNAcentral.